This 491-nucleotide ribosomal RNA is filed under the name uncultured bacterium. RNAcentral describes it as "partial 16S ribosomal RNA". It matches the Rfam family "Bacterial small subunit ribosomal RNA", at positions 28 to 507 of the family's 1533-position model. The record is from RNAcentral.
GACGAACGCUGGCGGCGUGCUUAACACAUGCAAGUCGAACGCUUAAGCUCAGCUUUUGUUGGGUGGAUGAGUGGCGAACGGGUGAGUAACACGUGAGUAACCUGCCUCCUUCUUUGGGAUAACGCCCGGAAACGGGUGCUAAUACUGGAUAUUCACUGGUCUUCGCCUGGGGGUUGGUGGAAAGGGUUUUUCUGGUGGGGGAUGGGCUCGCGGCCUAUCAGCUUGUUGGUGGGGUGAUGGCCUACCAAGGCUUUGACGGAUAGCCGGCCUGAGAGGGUGAGAGGGCAAACGGGAACUGAGACACGGUCCAGACGCCUACGGGAGGCAGCAGUAGGGAAUCGGCCGAAAUGGGAGAAAGCCUGAAGGAGCAACGCAGCGUGAGUGAGGAAGGGAUGCGGAUCGUAAAACUCUGUUAUUAGGGAAGAACAUAUGUGUAAGUAACUGUGCACAUCGUGACGGUACCGAAUCAGAAAGCCACGGCUAACUACGUG